UACAACAUAGGAAAUCUGCCUUAGGGUGGGGGACAACAGAGGGAAACUUCUGCUAAUACCCCAUAUGAGCUUGGUUGAAAUACCAAUCUUGAAAGUUCCGGCGCCCUAAGAUGAGCCUGUGCCUGAUUAGCUAGUUGGCGGUGUAAUGGACUACCAAGGCGACGAUCAGUAGCUGGUUUGAGAGGAUGAUCAGCCACAAUGGGACUGAGACACGGCCCAUACUCCUACGGGAGGCAGCAG
Molecule: ribosomal RNA, 240 nt
Filed under: uncultured bacterium
Lineage: Bacteria
Description: partial 16S ribosomal RNA
Rfam family: Bacterial small subunit ribosomal RNA
Source: RNAcentral